Molecule: ribosomal RNA, 253 nt
Filed under: uncultured bacterium
Lineage: Bacteria
Description: partial 16S ribosomal RNA
Rfam family: Bacterial small subunit ribosomal RNA
Source: RNAcentral
UACGUAGGGCGCAAGCGUUAUCCGGAAUUAUUGGGCGUAAAGAGCUCGUAGGCGGUUUGUCGCGUCUGCCGUGAAAGUCCGGGGCUCAACUCCGGAUCUGCGGUGGGUACGGGCAGACUAGAGUGAUGUAGGGGAGACUGGAAUUCCUGGUGUAGCGGUGAAAUGCGCAGAUAUCAGGAGGAACACCGAUGGCGAAGGCGGGUUGCUGGGCUGACACUGACGCUGAGGCGCGAAAGCUAGGGGAGCAAACAGG